UACAGAGGGUGCAAGCGUUAAUCGGAAUUACUGGGCGUAAAGCGCGCGUAGGUGGUUUGUUAAGUUGGAUGUGAAAGCCCCGGGCUCAACCUGGGAACUGCAUCCGAAACUGGCAAGCUAGAGUACGGUAGAGGGUGGUGGAAUUUCCUGUGUAGCGGUGAAAUGCGUAGAUAUAGGAAGGAACACCAGUGGCGAAGGCGACCACCUGGACUGAUACUGACACUGAGGUGCGAAAGCGUGGGGAGCAAACAGG
Molecule: ribosomal RNA, 253 nt
Filed under: uncultured bacterium
Lineage: Bacteria
Description: partial 16S ribosomal RNA
Rfam family: Bacterial small subunit ribosomal RNA
Source: RNAcentral